CAGUAGCCGCGGUAAUACGUAGGUGGCGAGCGUUGUCCGGAAUCAUUGGGCGUAAAGGGAGCGCAGGCGGGCAAGUAAGUCUUUCUUAAAAGUUCGGGGCUCAACCCCGUGAUGGGAAAGAAACUACAUGUCUUGAGUACAGGAGAGGAAAGCGGAAUUCCCAGUGUAGCGGUGAAAUGCGUAGAUAUUGGGAGGAACACCAGUGGCGAAGGCGGCUUUCUGGACUGCAACUGACGCUGAGGCUCGAAAGCCAGGGGAGCGAACGGGAUUAGAUACCCCUGUAGUCCCUGUCUCUUAUACA
Molecule: ribosomal RNA, 301 nt
Filed under: uncultured bacterium
Lineage: Bacteria
Description: partial 16S ribosomal RNA
Rfam family: Bacterial small subunit ribosomal RNA
Source: RNAcentral